CUACGGGCUGCACCAGUGGGGAAUCUUGGACAAUGGGCGCAAGCCUGAUCCAGCCAUGCCGCGUGAGUGAAGAAGGUCUUCGGAUUGUAAAGCUCUUUUGCCAGGGACGAUAAUGACGGUACCUGGAGAAUAAGCCCCGGCAAACUUCGUGCCAGCAGCCGCGGUAAUACGAAGGGGGCUAGCGUUGUUCGGAAUUACUGGGCGUAAAGCGCACGUAGGCGGGUCGUUAAGUCAGGGGUGAAAUCCCGGAGCUCAACUCCGGAACUGCCUUUGAUACUGGCGAUCUUGAGAUCGGAAGAGGUGAGUGGAAUUCCCAGUGUAGAGGUGAAAUUCGUAGAUAUUGGGAAGAACACCAGUGGCGAAGGCGGCUCACUGGUCCGAUACUGACGCUGAGGUGCGAAAGCGUGGGGAGCAAACAGGAUUAGAUACCCGAGUAGUC
RNAcentral lists this ribosomal RNA (439 nucleotides) under uncultured bacterium. Its description in RNAcentral is "partial 16S ribosomal RNA". It matches the Rfam family "Bacterial small subunit ribosomal RNA", at positions 339 to 795 of the family's 1533-position model. The record is from RNAcentral.